Fopius arisanus is the source of this 1173-nucleotide long non-coding RNA. RefSeq lists it as uncharacterized. The transcript has 2 exons. The record is from RefSeq and is a predicted model, not a curated record. NCBI's taxonomy places the organism in Eukaryota, Metazoa, Arthropoda, Insecta, Hymenoptera, Braconidae.
GGAAAAAUUCAUAAGUAUUUUUGCACUUUCUUCCUGGACGUUCCAGUCCGUUACUUCGCCUCUUUCUGUCUCACUUUAUUCUGCCAUAAUGCUGUCUCCCUUCAACAACGCCAUCGGCGUGUGCGGCCGCUAUUGAUUCUGGUUAAAGCCGGGUCGUGCCAUUGCGCUCUCUCUUUUCCUACCUCUCUCUCAUUCUCUCCCCCCACCAAUUAUUUUACUAUUCUUUCAUUAUAUUUUACAUUUACCCCAUUCUCAAUUACAAGCAAAAAUCACCCUUCUGAUCCAGACUUAUACUUCAAUUUUCCAAAAUCACUUUUUCAGCCAAAAUUUAAUUAAACCCCAAAAGACGCACAUCACUCAGUAAAAAAGCUAGUACAACCCCUUCCUCCUCUCCUCCUUCCCACCCCAUUUUCCUCUUCACCCCAUUACCCCCUUUUCUCCUUUUCCCCCCUCUCUGGUUGUACCCUUGACGAAAUUUUAUCAAGACCCUUCUGCAAAUUCGAUUGAAACCCAGAAAAACAUCCCCUGGAAAAUUCCCGGGUUUCCAAAAAAUGUUCGGUUGAUGAAAUGUUUUUUAUUACACAAAUGCGAUCCUGGGAGAUAAAACGGUUUAUGUCCUCGAACCGGAGGAAAAUGACGCAAUUUUGCUGAAUAGUUCCGAGAUAUUCGUUGGGAGGUGAUCCCAGGAGGGGCUCAAGUUAAAUCGAGUUUCUUGUUAAUUAGUGAUUUGUUAAUCUAUAUCUGCUGAGGAAUGAGGUCUAAAAUGGUAGGGUAAUUUUUUCGAAAAUAAAUGACCACCUCCAGAUUAUUCAAAAAACUUGGAAAAAUUUAUUUGAAUGAAUGAAUGAAUUCCCCGAGUUUCCAUUCACUGUUUUACUGUCGAAUAAAAAUUUAAUAGCACUUUGUUCAUGGAAGGAAUAAACCUGAUCAGUAUCCUCGAACCUAUAGCGACUCGUUAAGAGAAAUUACUCGGUGGGGAUGCACCGGUUCAUUGACACCGAAUAAUCCCUCCGUAAACCAGGAGUGAAAAAAAAAUAUAUAUAUUCAACCGACAAAAAUGGAGAAAUAGAAGCUAGAGUCAAGGUCGUCCAUUCCUGCGCGUCAAUCCUCGAACUUUUUGAGAACAUCAAUGAAUCAUUGAAAUUAUGAGAAUCCCCAGGAAUUCCCACCCCC